CCCUUAGAUGUUCUGGGCCGCACGCGCGCUACACUGACGAAUGAAACGAGCUUAUAACCUUGGCCGAAAGGUCUGGGUAAUCUCCAAAUUUCGUCGUGAUGGGGAUAGAUUAUUGCAAUUAUUAAUCUUCAACGAGGAAUGCCUAGUAAGCGCAAGUCAUCAGCUUGCGUUGAUUACGUCCCUGCCCUUUGUACACACCGCCCGUCGCUCCUACCGAUUGAAUGGUCCGGUGAAGCGUUCGGACCGUGGCCUUUGGACGGUUCGCCGUCUGUUGGCUGCGGGAAGUUCGUUAAACCUUAUCAUUUAGAGGAAGGAGAANUCGUAACA
Molecule: ribosomal RNA, 327 nt
Filed under: uncultured eukaryote
Lineage: Eukaryota
Description: partial 18S ribosomal RNA
Rfam family: Eukaryotic small subunit ribosomal RNA
Source: RNAcentral